GACACUGCGCCGAAAAUGUACCGGGGCUAAACAUAUUACCGAAGCUGUGGAUUGUCCUUUGGACAAUGGUAGGAGAGCGUUCUAAGGGCGUUGAAGCAUGAUCGUAAGGACAUGUGGAGCGCUUAGAAGUGAGAAUGCCGGUGUGAGUAGCGAAAGACGGGUGAGAAUCCCGUCCACCGAUUGACUAAGGUUUCCAGAGGAAGGCUCGUCCGCUCUGGGUUAGUCGGGUCCUAAGCUGAGGCCGACAGGCGUAGGCGAUGGAUAACAGGUUGAUAUUCCUGUACCACCUAUAAUCGUUUUAAUCGAUGGGGGGACGCAGUAGGAUAGGCGAAGCGUGCG
RNAcentral lists this ribosomal RNA (339 nucleotides) under Staphylococcus aureus. RNAcentral's name for it is "partial 23S ribosomal RNA". It matches the Rfam family "Bacterial large subunit ribosomal RNA", at positions 1155 to 1497 of the family's 2925-position model. The record is from RNAcentral. Lineage: Bacteria; Bacillati; Bacillota; Bacilli; Caryophanales; Staphylococcaceae.